This 498-nucleotide ribosomal RNA is filed under the name uncultured bacterium. RNAcentral's name for it is "partial 16S ribosomal RNA". It matches the Rfam family "Bacterial small subunit ribosomal RNA", at positions 30 to 523 of the family's 1533-position model. The record is from RNAcentral.
AUUGAACGCUGGCGGCAUGCCUUACACAUGCAUGUCGAACGGUAACAGGUCUUCGGAUGCUGACGAGUGGCGAACGGGUGAGUAAUACAUCGGAACGUGCCUAGUAGUGGGGGAUAACUACUCGAAAGAGUGGCUAAUACCGCAUGAGAUCUACGGAUGAAAGCAGGGGAUCGCAAGACCUUGUGCUACUAGAGCGGCCGAUGGCAGAUUAGGUAGUUGGUGGGAUAAAAGCUUACCAAGCCGACGAUAUGCAGCUGGUCUGAGAGGACGAUCAGCCACACUGGGACUGGGACACGGCCCAGACGCCUACGGGAGGCAGCAGUGGGGAAUUUUGGACAAUGGGCGAGAGCCUGAUCCAGCAAUGCCGCGUGCAGGAUGAAGGCCUUCGGGUUGUAAACUGCUUUUGUACGGAACGAAAAGCCCUGGGUUAAUACCCUGGGGUCAUGACGGUACCGUAAGAAUAAGCACCGGCUAACUACGUGCCAGCCGCCGCGGUAA